CUUCACUGUCAAACUCUUACAAAUCGAUUGCACAGAAGUCAUUUGAUGUUCUUGCAAUGUUUCCUUAAGUCUCUGAAGUUGUCCACACACUUCAGCAAAGGAUAAUUUACUGUCGAGCAAGACUCUUAAAGGAAACGAAUUAAAAGUAGGAGCCACAAGAGAAACAACUUCAUCAACAGGUACGUCUCUUCCGCUGAUAAUGUUACCAAAGCAAAUGUCUCUGCUAUUAAGCAAAAAAGAUAAUGUUUUAGCCCAACAACAUUGCAAAAACGUUGAUGUAGUAAAUGAAAACC
Molecule: non-coding RNA, 293 nt
Organism: Schizosaccharomyces pombe (fission yeast)
Lineage: Eukaryota; Fungi; Ascomycota; Schizosaccharomycetes; Schizosaccharomycetales; Schizosaccharomycetaceae
Source: the annotation of a GenBank genome assembly